Molecule: unclassified non-coding RNA, 301 nt
Filed under: plant metagenome
Description: partial contains 5.8S ribosomal RNA, internal transcribed spacer 2, and large subunit ribosomal RNA
Rfam family: 5.8S ribosomal RNA (bases 1-106)
Source: RNAcentral
CGAAAUGCGAUAAGUAGUGUGAAUUGCAGAAUUCAGUGAAUCAUCGAAUCUUUGAACGCACAUUGCGCCCCUUGGUAUUCCAUGGGGCAUGCCUGUUCGAGCGUCAUUUGUACCCUCAAGCUUUGCUUGGUGUUGGGCGUCUUGUCGGAAUAUCCGACUCGCCUUAAAUACAUUGGCAGCCGGCACUUUGGCCUAGGAGCGCAGUACAUUUUGCGAUCGUAAGCCGUUGUGACAGCAUCCAUAAGAUUUAUUUUACCACGUUUGACCUCGGAUCAGGUAGGGAUACCCGCUGAACUUAAGC